GACGAACGCUGGCGGCGUGCCUAAUACAUGCAAGUUGAGCGCUGAAGGUUGGUACUUGUGCCAACUUGAUGAGCAGCGAACGGGUGAGUAACGCGUGUGGAAUCUGCCUUUGAGCGGGGUACAACAUGUGGAAACGAAUGCUAAUACCGCAUAAAAACUUUAAACACAAGUUUUAAGUUUGAAAGAUGCAAUUGCAUCACUCAAAGAUGAUCCCGCGUUGUAUUAGCUAGUUGGUGAGGUAAAGGAUCACCAAGGCGAUGAUACAUAGCCGCACUGAGAGGGCGAUCAGCCAGCCUGGGACUGAGACACGCCCCAAACGCACACGGGAGGAAGCAGUAGGGCAUCUUCGGCCAUGGACGAAAGUUUGAGCGAGCAAGGCGGAGUGCGUGAAGAGGAUCGCCGGAUCGUAAAACACGGUUGGUAGAGAAGAACGUUGGUGCGCGUGGAACGAUCCUCAAGUGACGGUAAUUACUCAGAAAGGGACGGCUAACUACGUG
This 497-nucleotide ribosomal RNA is filed under the name uncultured bacterium. RNAcentral describes it as "partial 16S ribosomal RNA". It matches the Rfam family "Bacterial small subunit ribosomal RNA", at positions 28 to 507 of the family's 1533-position model. The record is from RNAcentral.